AUUGAACGCUGGCGGCAUGCCUUACACAUGCAAGUCGAACGGUAACGGGCCCUCGGGUGCCGACGAGUGGCGAACGGGUGAGUAAUGUAUCGGAACGUACCUUUCAGUGGGGGAUAACGUAGCGAAAGUUACGCUAAUACCGCAUAUUCUGUGAGCAGGAAAGCAGGGGAUCGCAAGACCUUGCGCUGAUUGAGCGGCCGAUAUCAGAUUAGCUAGUUGGUGAGGUAAAGGCUCACCAAGGCGACGAUCUGUAGCGGGUCUGAGAGGAUGAUCAGUCACACUGGAACUGAGACACGGUCCAGACUCCUACGGGAGGCAGCAGUGGGGAAUAUUGGACAAUGGGGGCAACCCUGAUUCAGCCAUGCCGCGUGUGUGAAGAAGGCCU
This 385-nucleotide ribosomal RNA is filed under the name uncultured bacterium. Its description in RNAcentral is "bacterial SSU rRNA". It matches the Rfam family "Bacterial small subunit ribosomal RNA", at positions 30 to 417 of the family's 1533-position model. The record is from RNAcentral.